CUGCGACCCCAGGUCAGG
RNAcentral lists this ribosomal RNA (18 nucleotides) under Trichodrymonia lacera. RNAcentral describes it as "partial 28S ribosomal RNA". The record is from RNAcentral. Lineage: Eukaryota; Viridiplantae; Streptophyta; Magnoliopsida; Lamiales; Gesneriaceae.